Molecule: ribosomal RNA, 491 nt
Filed under: uncultured bacterium
Lineage: Bacteria
Description: partial 16S ribosomal RNA
Rfam family: Bacterial small subunit ribosomal RNA
Source: RNAcentral
AGUGAACGCUGGCGGUAGGCCUAACACAUGCAAGUCGAACGGCAGCACAGUAAGAGCUUGCUCUUACGGGUGGCGAGUGGCGGACGGGUGAGGAAUACAUCGGAAUCUACUUUUUCGUGGGGGAUAACGUAGGGAAACUUACGCUAAUACCGCAUACGACCUACGGGUGAAAGCAGGGGAUCUUCGGACCUUGCGCGAUUGAAUGAGCCGAUGUCGGAUUAGCUAGUUGGCGGGGUAAAGGCCCACCAAGGCGACGAUCCGUAGCUGGUCUGAGAGGAUGAUCAGCAACACUGGACCUGAGACACGGUCCAGACUCCUACGGGAGGCAGCAGUGGGGAAUAUUGGACAAUGGGCGCAAGCCUGAUCCAGCCAUACCGCGUGGGUGAAGAAGGCCUUCGGGUUGUAAAGCCCUUUUGUUGGGAAAGAAAAGCAGCAGGUUAAUACCCCGCUGUUCUGACGGUACCCAAAGAAUAAGCACCGGCUAACUUCGU